GUGUCAGCCGCCGCGGUAAUACGUAGGGAGCAAGCGUUGUCCGGAAUCAUUGGGCGUAAAGCGCGCGUAGGUGGCCCAGUAAGUCCGUUCUGAAAGUCACAGGCUCAACCUGUGAAAGCGGAUGGAUACUGCUGGGCUAGAGUCCGGAAGAGGCGAGUGGAAUUCCUGGUGUAGCGGUGGAAUGCGCAGAUAUCAGGAGGAACACCAACGGCGAAGGCAGCUCGCUGGGACGGUACUGACACUGAGGCGCGAAAGCGUGGGGAGCGAACAGGAUUAGAAACCCUGGUAGUCC
RNAcentral lists this ribosomal RNA (292 nucleotides) under uncultured bacterium. RNAcentral's name for it is "partial 16S ribosomal RNA". It matches the Rfam family "Bacterial small subunit ribosomal RNA", at positions 505 to 796 of the family's 1533-position model. The record is from RNAcentral.